This 107-nucleotide small nuclear RNA is filed under the name Mus spicilegus (steppe mouse). The record is from RNAcentral. Lineage: Eukaryota; Metazoa; Chordata; Mammalia; Rodentia; Muridae.
AUGCUCUCUUCGGCAGCACAUAUACUAAAAUUGGAAUGAUACAGAGAACAUUAGCCUGGCCCCUGCACAAGGAUGAAAAGCAAAUUCAUGAAGUGUUCCAUAUUUAA